UUACCUGGUGAAAGAAGAAAAAGUUAGUGCCCCUCUUGACAGGGAUGGAAAGGCCCUUAGGCCUAACAACAUGCAUAGGUUUAAAUAAUCAUAUUCUCAUAUAUUUAGGACAUGCAGACAAAUUAU
Small nuclear RNA from Peromyscus californicus insignis, 126 nucleotides. Lineage: Eukaryota; Metazoa; Chordata; Mammalia; Rodentia; Cricetidae. The record is from RefSeq and is a predicted model, not a curated record.